UACAGAGGUCUCAAGCGUUGUUCGGAUUCAUUGGGCGUAAAGGGUGCGUAGGCGGCGCGGUAAGUCGGGUGUGAAAUCUCGGAGCUUAACUCCGAAACUGCAUUCGAUACUGCCGUGCUUGAGGACUGGAGAGGAGACUGGAAUUUACGGUGUAGCGGUGAAAUGCGUAGAUAUCGUAAGGAAGCCCAGUGGCGAAGGCGGGUCUCUGGACAGUUCCUGACGCUGAGGCACGAAGGUCAGGGGAGCAAACGGG
RNAcentral lists this ribosomal RNA (253 nucleotides) under uncultured bacterium. RNAcentral's name for it is "partial 16S ribosomal RNA". It matches the Rfam family "Bacterial small subunit ribosomal RNA", at positions 524 to 776 of the family's 1533-position model. The record is from RNAcentral.